GAGACAUGUGAAGAUUUUGGAAACGAUAGUAUCGUGCAUUUCAGUUUUCGCGCAUUUUUGUUUUUUCUAAAAUGUUCAUGUAGCCCAUUAAGACGUCCAAAUCCAAAGGACCAAACCUUGUAAAAAACAAAUGGAUACGGAGGCCGGAAACCUGAAGGAAUAGGUAGAAUUGCGGCGUGGGCGAGCUGGCAUUCAUUAACCCGACUUUGGCCCACUAUCCGGUCGGCCAUGGGUUCCAUCUCCAGUUGCCAAGGCACCAUGGCCUGCAGAACGAGGCAUCUUUAAGGGAUUUCGAAUGAAUGGACCAUGGCGUCGCAGAAGAAGUUACCCAGGUUGCACUCUCCGGCGGCACAAUCGUCCUUGGUGAGGUCCACCUUGGAAGUGCCCACCACUACCUUGCCCAUUUCGUCGAUCUCCUCCUUCCAUGGCUGCAUAGCCUCCAGCACUUCCUCGUCUACAGGGAGCACAAUGCCCAGACACAGAUGGAUUACACUAUUUGCCAUCAAGGACUUUCACAUGGAACACAGCAAGUCACAGGAACUGAUUUGCCAGAGCCUUCCACAAAAAAAAAAUAUUUGAACUAGUAAAAUGAAGCACUGAUAUAAGCAAAUGAGUUAAAAGAUCCCUACAUAUCCACUCGUACUGACCUUCUGGC
Drosophila erecta is the source of this 655-nucleotide long non-coding RNA. RefSeq lists it as uncharacterized. The transcript is spliced from 5 exons. The record is from RefSeq and is a predicted model, not a curated record. Lineage: Eukaryota; Metazoa; Arthropoda; Insecta; Diptera; Drosophilidae.